CAAAUGACAUUUGGUGUCGACACUUGCUUUUGAUGUUUUUGCUGUUGGUUUGUUAAAGGCAAAGAGCUUUCACGCCGGGCGAAUGGAGGAGUCACCAUCUCAGCUGAUGGACGUUCCAUGCAGCCUGGAGCUGAAGAAACAGACUGAAGCACAAAAAGGAUCACGGACUAUAGAUCUGCACCUCUUACAAGGAUGCCAGAAUUUUGGAGGUUGCAAAGAGGCAGAAAAUCUGCAAACUUUACUAAAGAAUUUUACUCAUACAGCUUCACACCAGGCUGAAUAUCCCAGCAGAGCUAUUGCCUUAUUAAAUGGAGUGGUAAUUCAUAUGUUCCAGCUCUCUGUAACUAAACUUAAGGAAUUAUGGAGUGAUGGCUCUGGUUCCACGGCAUGGCAGUAACCUGCAGUGAGGAAAACCAGAGAAAUACUGCAGUUGGGUAACUCACCCCACAAAAGGAAGAGGUAAACAGAAAUUAACAGGUGGUUGGAAAUGCAUAUCCUGCUCUUCCAGAUAAACACCAGCUCUCUCUUUAAGUAUUCCAAACUCUGCCUCAAUAUCUCACAUCCUUUGGAAAUCACUUUGCCGGUUGCUUGCGGUUACAAUUUUUUUCAUGGCGCUGUUUUUAUGUGUUAAAAAUAGAUUUUUUAAAAGCGGAUUUUUCUUUUUCUUUGUCUGUACGUUGCCUCAUAAAAGUCUCGUUGCCAAGAGUUUGAAAUCCUGUGUCAAUCACCAGUGUUUUCUCCG
This 742-nucleotide long non-coding RNA is filed under the name Calidris pugnax (ruff). Its description in RNAcentral is "lncRNA (ENSCPUG00000015847.1)". The record is from RNAcentral. Lineage: Eukaryota; Metazoa; Chordata; Aves; Charadriiformes; Scolopacidae.